UUAAGCGACUAAGCGUACACGGUGGAUGCCCUGGCAGUCAGAGGCGAUGAAGGACGUGCUAAUCUGCGAUAAGCGUCGGUAAGGUGAUAUGAACCGUUAUAACCGGCGAUUUCCGAAUGGGGAAACCCAGUGUGUUUCGACACACUAUCAUUAACUGAAUCCAUAGGUUAAUGAGGCGAACCGGGGGAACUGAAACAUCUAAGUACCCCGAGGAAAAGAAAUCAACCGAGAUUCCCCCAGUAGCGGCGAGCGAACGGGGAGCAGCCCAGAGCCUGAAUCAGUGUGUGUGUUAGUGGAAGCGUCUGGAAAGGCGCGCGAUACAGGGUGACAGCCCCGUACACAAAAAUGCACAUGCUGUGAGCUCGAUGAGUAGGGCGGGACACGUGGUAUCCUGUCUGAAUAUGGGGGGACCAUCCUCCAAGGCUAAAUACUCCUGACUGACCGAUAGUGAACCAGUACCGUGAGGGAAAGGCGAAAAGAACCCCGGCGAGGGGAGUGAAAAAGAACCUGAAACCGUGUACGUACAAGCAGUGGGAGCACGCUUAGGCGUGUGACUGCGUACCUUUUGUAUAAUGGGUCAGCGACUUAUAUUCUGUAGCAAGGUUAACCGAAUAGGGGAGCCGAAGGGAAACCGAGUCUUAACUGGGCGUUAAGUUGCAGGGUAUAGACCCGAAACCCGGUGAUCUAGCCAUGGGCAGGUUGAAGGUUGGGUAACACUAACUGGAGGACCGAACCGACUAAUGUUGAAAAAUUAGCGGAUGACUUGUGGCUGGGGGUGAAAGGCCAAUCAAACCGGGAGAUAGCUGGUUCUCCCCGAAAGCUAUUUAGGUAGCGCCUCGUGAAUUCAUCUCCGGGGGUAGAGCACUGUUUCGGCAAGGGGGUCAUCCCGACUUACCAACCCGAUGCAAACUGCGAAUACCGGAGAAUGUUAUCACGGGAGACACACGGCGGGUGCUAACGUCCGUCGUGAAGAGGGAAACAACCCAGACCGCCAGCUAAGGUCCCAAAGUCAUGGUUAAGUGGGAAACGAUGUGGGAAGGCCCAGACAGCCAGGAUGUUGGCUUAGAAGCAGCCAUCAUUUAAAGAAAGCGUAAUAGCUCACUGGUCGAGUCGGCCUGCGCGGAAGAUGUAACGGGGCUAAACCAUGCACCGAAGCUGCGGCAGCGACACUAUGUGUUGUUGGGUAGGGGAGCGUUCUGUAAGCCUGUGAAGGUGUGCUGUGAGGCAUGCUGGAGGUAUCAGAAGUGCGAAUGCUGACAUAAGUAACGAUAAAGCGGGUGAAAAGCCCGCUCGCCGGAAGACCAAGGGUUCCUGUCCAACGUUAAUCGGGGCAGGGUGAGUCGACCCCUAAGGCGAGGCCGAAAGGCGUAGUCGAUGGGAAACAGGUUAAUAUUCCUGUACUUGGUGUUACUGCGAAGGGGGGACGGAGAAGGCUAUGUUGGCCGGGCGACGGUUGUCCCGGUUUAAGCGUGUAGGCUGGUUUUCCAGGCAAAUCCGGAAAAUCAAGGCUGAGGCGUGAUGACGAGGCACUACGGUGCUGAAGCAACAAAUGCCCUGCUUCCAGGAAAAGCCUCUAAGCAUCAGGUAACAUCAAAUCGUACCCCAAACCGACACAGGUGGUCAGGUAGAGAAUACCAAGGCGCUUGAGAGAACUCGGGUGAAGGAACUAGGCAAAAUGGUGCCGUAACUUCGGGAGAAGGCACGCUGAUAUGUAGGUGAAGUCCCUCGCGGAUGGAGCUGAAAUCAGUCGAAGAUACCAGCUGGCUGCAACUGUUUAUUAAAAACACAGCACUGUGCAAACACGAAAGUGGACGUAUACGGUGUGACGCCUGCCCGGUGCCGGAAGGUUAAUUGAUGGGGUCAGCGCAAGCGAAGCUCUUGAUCGAAGCCCCGGUAAACGGCGGCCGUAACUAUAACGGUCCUAAGGUAGCGAAAUUCCUUGUCGGGU
Molecule: ribosomal RNA, 1948 nt
Filed under: human gut metagenome
Description: bacterial LSU rRNA
Rfam family: Bacterial large subunit ribosomal RNA
Source: RNAcentral